This is a non-coding RNA of Orbicella faveolata, 2343 nucleotides long. The record is from RefSeq and is a predicted model, not a curated record. Lineage: Eukaryota; Metazoa; Cnidaria; Anthozoa; Scleractinia; Merulinidae.
AUGAUCUCAGAGAGAUCGAAAUGUCAUUUUUUACCACUAGUUUUUAUUCUGAAAUGUUUUGUAAAAAAACUACUGAUAAGAAUUUUAAAGCGUGACAACCAGCUUCACCUGUUCAGAAGGCUUGAGCAGUGUAGAGAGAAACAAGUUAACUGUGAGACUGCCAUUCAAUUUCUUAAACUCUGUCAGAAUUUUAAUUUGACACCAACCUUUGCUAGGGUUGAUCAGACUAAAGUGAACAAAUGGAGGCGAUCUGCUAACUCCUUUGAAGGAAGCAUCGUUAUCGAAGAGCUAUGCCUGAAGAGGAAGCAAUUAGCAGAGCUUAGGCUUGAAACUCAAGACGUUUACAACAAGAUCAGAGUGAACUGUCCAUCACUUCAUUUCCUUUGCAUCCUAAAAACGAUCAUCACUCUACGUAAUGAACAGUACCGACAAUCGAUGAAUGGCCACCCAAGAAGAUUUUGAGGCUCCUGAACAAACAUGAUGCUGAUAUCGAUGAACAUAUCAAGAACAUUUCAUCCUACAAGCUUUCCUUCUUCCAAAAACUGGCACUAAGUCGCGGUCUUGACUUUGCUCUUCCACAGUGAGUGUCAUCCAAGGAAAUUGAAGCUGCUUUUGAAAAGGCUUUCUGGAAAUUAGAACUGGGGUUGAGCAAAGAAAACAAAGAAUUGGCGGCUGCAUCAUUACGUGCAAUUGCUUUGAAUUACAUCGAACGAAAGACCCUUGCACCACCAAGAGCAAUGCUAAGAGCAAUUGGCCAAUUGAAAAAGAAGAAUGACAUUAUUAUUACGAAGCCAGAUAAGGGAUCAGGUGUGCUUGUGAUGGACAAGUCAGAUUAUGUGCGCCUACUGAAAGAGUCAUCAAUAAACAAAGAAACCAAGUUUAUACCAGUGUGUGCUGAAAGACCCAAAAUGAGAGGAAGACUUCCCAAGCAUUUCCACCAGCUAUUGCAGAAGGAAAAGGAGUUAACUGCCACUAUAGAAAGAAUAUUGCCCAAGGCAGUUGCUGGCACAGUUGUCCAGAAUGGCUCGAGACUAGCCCAUCUUUAUGGCUUGCCAAAAACCCACAAGUGACAACUAGCAAUGCGGCCAAUACUCUUGGCAACCAGGACAUAUAAUUACAAGUUGGCAAAAUGGCUUGACAAAAAGCUCAAACCUUUAUCAGUCAAUGACCACACCAUCAGUGAUGUUUUUAAUUUCGUGGAUUCUCUCCAUGACAUGGAAGUUGACGAUCACAGUGUCCUUGUUUCAUGUGACGUAACUUCGCUCUUUACCAAUGUCCCUGUUGAUGAGACGAUACAAAUUCUAGCUGAAAAGGCAUUUAAGGACGACUGGUUCAAUAAACAGCAUAAUAUCAACAUUACAAAAUCAGACUUGGUAGAGUUGCUAAAUAUUGCCACACAAGAACCAGCUUUUUCAGUUUGAGGGGAGUUUGAUGAACAAACCGAUGGUGUUGCCAUGGGUUCAUCACUUGGACCCCUAAUGGCCAAUGUAUUUAUGUGCAGUAUCGAAGAUCGACUUCAGGACUCAGGCAAGUUACCCGAGUUCUACAAACGCUAUGUGGAUGACACAUUGAGCAUAAUGCCUGACACCGAAACAGCUGAAGCAUUCCUUUCCUCUCUAAAUGAGAGUCAUCCAUCUGUCUGCUUCACCAUGGAACUUGGCAAACACGGUAAACUUCCUUUCCUGGGAACGGACAUCAGGAAAUGCAAUGGUCGCCUGGAGACAAGGGUGUACAGAAAACCAACUGACACCGGAUUAUUACUACAUUACAAGAGACACAUCGAUGUUAGAUACAAGGAUUCAUUGCUAAAAACAAUGCUGGAUCGUGCCUUUAAACUAUCAUCUACCUGGCAACUGUUCCACCUGGAAUGUGAUCAUCUCACAGACGUUCUCCUGACUUCAGUACCCAGCGCAAUUGAUACAAUCGACCAUCAGUAAUUUUGUCACCAAGAAAGUUUCUGGCGAUCCAAUUUCUACUCGAGCAUGUAACGUGAAUGAAGCCCCUGUCAGAAUAGUGUUACCUUUCAAGGAUCAGAGAUCGGCUAAUUCCACACGAAGGUAGCUUGGGGAACUAGGCCGAAAAAUUGGAAUAGAUAUUCUUCCCGUAUACACAAGCCGCAAGAUUGGACAGGAGGUCAAACCAAAAGAAAAGAGGCCGCCUAUCAUUAACCAGCAACGCGUUGUUUACUACUACAAGUGUGGUUUGUGUGAUGCAAACUACGUCGGGUACACAUGCCGACACCUCUAUCAAUGCGUCGAGGAACACAAAGGAUCGUCUUCAAUCGGGAAUCACAUCAAAGAGCAGCAUGGAACAGUCCCAAGUGACAUAUAUCGUGAUUUUAAG